Triticum aestivum (bread wheat) is the source of this 1828-nucleotide long non-coding RNA. RefSeq lists it as uncharacterized. The record is from RefSeq and is a predicted model, not a curated record. The transcript has 3 exons. NCBI's taxonomy places the organism in Eukaryota, Viridiplantae, Streptophyta, Magnoliopsida, Poales, Poaceae.
UGUGUGGUAACUUCUUCAUUGAUUGUAACUCAAGUUUUUCGGAGAUCUUCCUCCCCUUUCACUCAAACUUGUUGAUAUUUGGGGACUCAAAGACAGAUUGGAGACUCUUAGACGGUAGGAGUCCUCGGUGAGAAAAUGAUUUGUGAUUUUUCCCGUCGUUUGUGAAGGUUUUGAGAUCGCCUCCAGGUAUACCACCAGUGAUUGGGAAUCACCUUCUUUGUGAUAUCUCAACAAGAAGAGGGUGAGCUUUCAUGGUGUUGAUGUGCCUUUAUGGUAACACCCACCCCUCCAACAUUGACUAGUUUCUCUCCAAAGAAGCGAACAUUCGGAUAUUAUCGUCUCAGGUGUUUUCGGUUAUAUCUAGCCCCUAACUCACCAUAUAGAUUGUUUAUCUCACUACAAUUGUUUAAGAUCUGGUAGUAAGGGGUUAGUAAAAACCAAUUAUUGGACUAGUAUUACCAAAAAAAUCACGUGGAGAAAUACUUUUAAUGAGUGUGGUACUAUUCGAAUCAAUUGAGUUAAACCUAGCAAAAUUGGUGUGAUUUAUGUCAAUCACGAUCCCUAGAUAAGACACUGUUUGUAGAGAUUGAUUCGUUGUAAUCCUAUAAUCAAUUGUAACCUUAGCGAUCAAGUGUCAUCCAUGUAUAAAUACGAGGCAAAUCCCUACGGGGUAUCUCACAGCAAAACAUUGUAGUGUUUGAGUUGGUAACAGAGGCAAGAUGCCGCUGUUUCGGCAACGACAGCACCAACCUCAAGUCCCAAGUUUGAUCCCUAUUCAGACAUUGUGUCGCAACCGCUUCAAUCCUGCGUACUAGUUCAUGUCCAUAGUGUACUACAAACCAGUGUUGCGGCGUUGCUGGAACGCUCACGAUGAUCGACGGGCUGGAGCACAUGAUUAAAGCGGUUGCGGCAUUGCCUGACUUUGGAGCAAACAUGGCUCUUGAGAUUGCUUCCGCCAUUGCCGUGUAUGCGCCCACCAUGGCCACGACCAGCAGUGUGGACGGUCAAGAUUUGACCUACAUUAAAUGCACAUUAUUUGAUGUCAGACCAGAUCACAGAAAAAAACAGAAAAAGAAAGGCGGAAAGGUUUGUAACUACAUUACUUUGUGGUCCAAAUGUGUGCAGGAUUCGGUGGAUGUUCGCAAGAACCAUGAUGGAGUAGCCCGUUUCGAAACUUGGAGUAGCAAGCUCUGUUUGCCCUCAGAUCACGGAAAAAAUCAGAAAAAGAAAGGCGGAUAGGUGUGCAAAUGUGUGCAGGAUUCGGUGGAGGUUCACUUGACACUUGAGAGUUCAAGGAUGGAGGCGACAUGCUUAAAGAAACAUGAUGGAGUAGCCCAUUUCAAAACUUGGGAGUAGCAAGCUCUGUUUGCCCUCAGUUUCUGAACUUGCCAGAAGUCGAUGGGAGGUCGACACGGCGUCCGUUCCCCGGUCGUGCCUGCACCCAGCGGGGACCCUCACCAGGCCUCCACUUUGCCGGACCACCGUGUCCUGCCGGGCAUAGGGUAGCGCGACCGUGGCGUACCGCGCUACCGGUUCUGUAGCUGCUGCGAAACAGCAGCAGCAGCAACGAAGAUACUGCUGAACCUUCCUCGCUCGUAUCCUGCUCCCGCUGCUGCUGACCCUUCUCGUGAUGCUCGUCCUACUCCCCACCGGAGCUAACCACGACCGACGAGGAUAAACAGGGCAGAUUGUAAUCUUUCCUGACCUACUGCAACAACAAACAGCUCAGCACAUUACUCUGUAUAUAUAUAUAUAUCCCUGCCUCGAUGUCUGAACUUUUGUUUGAAACAAAGUUCCUGAACUUCGUAAUUAACAUGUUCUAAUCCCA